This 1000-nucleotide long non-coding RNA is filed under the name Lepisosteus oculatus (spotted gar). Its description in RNAcentral is "lncRNA (ENSLOCG00000022144.1)". Lineage: Eukaryota; Metazoa; Chordata; Actinopteri; Semionotiformes; Lepisosteidae. The record is from RNAcentral.
AUUGUCCCAUAUGGGGCUCAGCAACAACCUGGAUCACUCUUGCCUUCCAGAGGAUUUAUUAAACAGUCCAUCCCCCAGCCUGGCAGACCAAGCCUUGAGAUUCUGUAUCCCUUUGGCUUUGGAAAUACAGGACCAAUGGGGCCAAUUGUGGGACCACAGCUUCCAGCUCUUGGGACCCAAACAGAGCCUGAGAAGGAGGAUUAGAGAUAAUGAAGACCCAGAAUUGACUACUUUGAUGCUGAAAAAUAUUAACAAAAAAUGUUAUGAUGCUUUCAUUUAUCUUAGUAAAAUUGUGAAAUAAUUGCAGUGCUUCUUUUAUCUAUAGAAUAAUAAAAAAAUGUUGUAAUUUGCAUGUAGUUGUAGUAAUGUACUGUAUCAUUGAUUCCUUAGGUAUGUGAGUGGGCUUCUACAGUAUGUUAUAAUUGAAGAUAAGAUCAAUUGUUUUAUUUUUUAUGACACACAUAUCUGACAUCGCUGAAGUCGCUGGUUUCAUCUAACCUGAUUAAUACGAAUUGAACAAACACUAAUCUGGGGUUAAACUGUUAAUGAAAAUACUGUUUGCAAUUCUAAUCAGAAUAUUUGAAACUAGCAUUAAAUGUAUUAAAUGAAAAGGGCAUUAUCACUAAUCAUUUGUCGCGUUCCAUUUAAUCACUAUGUCAUCAAACUUGUCAAAUUCAAAAUGAAAAUGGUUUACAAAAUUUCAGUAUUGCAGAAACUUUAAAAUGAACCAUGUUUUAUAAUGUUGUUUAAUUUGUGUUAUUAAAUACUUAAGAUUCAUCAAAUACCUGUCUGCUUCAUUAUUUUCACUGAAAUCAUUAGAAUAGAUAUUAUUAGAAUAUUAAUUAGUCAUUUUACCAUGGAGAGCCAUCAGACAUUAAAUUGUUUCUUGUCUAAUAAGAUUUUUGUCUAAGGGAUUAAGUCAUCAGUGAUCUAUGUGGUGUGCGUAGUUACUAUGUAAACUAAUACGUUACCUAUUAAAAAGAUUUUUUCCAAUGCCUUA